GAGGGUGUAGCUCAAGCAGUAGAGUGCAUGCUUAGCAUACACAAGGUCCUGGGUUCAAUCCCCAGUACCUCCU
This 73-nucleotide transfer RNA is filed under the name Camelus bactrianus (Bactrian camel). It matches the Rfam family "tRNA". Rfam says of the family: Transfer RNA (tRNA) molecules are approximately 80 nucleotides in length. Lineage: Eukaryota; Metazoa; Chordata; Mammalia; Artiodactyla; Camelidae. RNAcentral also lists the same sequence under 2 other names. The record is from Rfam by way of RNAcentral.